GAGGUACUCCUUUCGUCCGAGAAUAUUUGUUUUAAAGAUGAAUGUAUCUAAACUUACUUUAGUUACAGUUGCAUCCAUCAUAUCCAUUUCUAAAACAAGUAUUUUCGAACGAAGAAAGUAAUAG
RNAcentral lists this microRNA precursor (124 nucleotides) under Hordeum vulgare. Its description in RNAcentral is "microRNA MIR1122". It matches the Rfam family "MIR1120/MIR1122 microRNA precursor family". The record is from RNAcentral. Lineage: Eukaryota; Viridiplantae; Streptophyta; Magnoliopsida; Poales; Poaceae.